Uranotaenia lowii is the source of this 1209-nucleotide long non-coding RNA. RefSeq lists it as uncharacterized. The transcript has 3 exons. Lineage: Eukaryota; Metazoa; Arthropoda; Insecta; Diptera; Culicidae. The record is from RefSeq and is a predicted model, not a curated record.
GGAUGUUUUGUGUUUUUUCGUAGUUAAAACUCGCGUCUGGGUGAAGCGUCAGCGAUCAACAAAAUCCGAUUUCUCUGGACCGUCAGCAACCGACGACGGCAGUUGGUGUCAGCAAACCAAAAGGUUCGGAAAAAUUUCUUGCAAAAUGAUCCAAUGCCGAUGGCUUUCCAUUCCGGAAAGAAAAUCAAAUGAAAAGAACUCAGCUGGCCAGUUUGAGUUGUUGUUCCGAUGUUCGGACAAGUUUCGCAGAGUAAAUAUCACCGAAGUAAAUUUGAACUUGCGGAACCGGCGGAGGAUCUCAGAUUUGGCGUUUUAUCAACUUUAAGAAGUAGGUGUAACUUCUAAGCGGCCUUCAAGCAUGCAUCAGGUUAUGUACUGCAUACGUUCGGACGUUACAAUAUAUAACUGUUAAAAUGAAAUAUGAAGAGCAUGUUCCUGUUUGGACCACCCUACUCUACAAUCCGUUUAAAAUUUAAAUUACUAUAUUGAUUCCGCAAAGAUACCUUGGAAAGACAAAUUGCUAAAAAAAUAGUUAUAAAUUGUGUCUGUCGUGUGUCGUGUGUUCUACGCAAACCCUGCUGCAAGCGAUUUAAAAAAAACGUCAACAUCGAAGACGCAAAUCAAAUCCUCACGGUUUCGUGGUGCACAACUGGUGUUGAAUUUGAGCCAAUGGAGGUACAAUUUCGUGGCGUGUACCAGCUGGAUAACUUUCAAGAUUUCCGUUUCCGAAACACGUGUACACGCUCUUCAUAGUCGACAGGCAGCUAUACCGUUUUCCACAUUCACCAGUAGAAGCUUUUCUGUUUCUCUGCAUCACGAGUCACUUUUUGGCAUAGGAAGCACAACAAAGUAAUGGGAGAAAGAAUCAUCAACCAAUAUGAAAACGCUUUUCCAGUUUAUUGUUUCCUUCUGGCGGCUCAAAACAAACCCACUUGCAGGCACACAACAAAACAUGCUGGGCGGUUUUGUGAUGAGUUGUAAGUACGGUUACUCAAAACGCCGCUGUGCUUGGGAAACGGAGAAAUGUAACCGUUCAUUUUACUUCCGAAAUACGAAAACCGAAAUGUGGAAACUUAUGGCGGAAGAAGAUGGUUUCCUCAGCACCAGCAACAUCACAGUCAACCAAACCGUGUUCCCAGAAGGUUGCCACUAAUUAGCCCAAAUGAGAUAGUUAAUUAUUGGGAAGUUGUUUUGUUGUGCUGAGGAAUA